RNAcentral lists this small RNA (2216 nucleotides) under Pongo abelii (Sumatran orangutan). Its description in RNAcentral is "retained intron". The record is from RNAcentral. Lineage: Eukaryota; Metazoa; Chordata; Mammalia; Primates; Hominidae.
AGUCUCAUUGAGCCUGACUCGAGUAAUGAUUAACUGGCCGCCCGGAGCCCAGACGGGUGACAAGGUGCUGUGGUCUGUCUUACGAUGGGCAGUGAAGCCUGAGCAGACCAUUAAUAAUCAGCAUCAAGGCCGCGAGUCAGCCUUUUGGAAUGUGUGGUUUGUCUUUCAUGCUGUUUAGAGUGUGCUUAAAGAUGGAUCUUGGUGUUUUUAUUUGUGUAUUUAUUUCUUUCUCUCCCCUUUUCAAAUCCACAGCAGACUGUCCAGAUGCUGUGCCUUCCUCCGCUGAAACAGGGGGAACGAAUUAUCUGGCCCCUGGGGGGCUUUCAGAUUCCCAACUUCUUCUGGAGCCUGGGGAUCGGUCACACUGGUGCGUGGUGGCAUACUGGGAGGAGAAGACGAGAGUGGGGAGGCUCUACUGUGUCCAGGAGCCCUCUCUGGAUAUCUUCUAUGAUCUACCUCAGGGGAAUGGCUUUUGCCUCGGACAGCUCAAUUCGGACAACAAGAGUCAGCUGGUGCAGAAGGUGCGGAGCAAAAUCGGCUGCGGCAUCCAGCUGACGCGGGAGGUGGAUGGUGUGUGGGUGUACAACCGCAGCAGUUACCCCAUCUUCAUCAAGUCCGCCACACUGGACAACCCGGACUCCAGGACGCUGUUGGUACACAAGGUGUUCCCCGGUUUCUCCAUCAAGGCUUUCGACUACGAGAAGGCGUACAGCCUGCAGCGGCCCAAUGACCACGAGUUUAUGCAGCAGCCGUGGACGGGCUUUACCGUGCAGAUCAGCUUUGUGAAGGGCUGGGGCCAGUGCUACACCCGCCAGUUCAUCAGCAGCUGCCCGUGCUGGCUAGAGGUCAUCUUCAACAGCCGGUAGCCGCGUGCGGAGGGGACAGAGCGUGAGCUGAGCAGGCCACACUUCAAACUACUUUGCUGCUAAUAUUUUCCUCCUGAGUGCUUGCUUUUCAUGCAAACUCUUUGGUUGUUUUUUUUUUUUGUUGUUGUUGGUUGGUUUUCUUCUUCUCGUUCUCGUUUGUGUUCUGUUUUGUUUCGCUCUUUGAGAAAUAGCUUAUGAAAAGAAUUGUUGGGGGUUUUUUUGGAAGAAGGGGCGGGUAUGAUCGGCAGGACGCCGUGAUAGGAAGAGGGGAAGCAGAAAUCCAAGCACCACCAAACGCAGUGUAUGAAGGGGGGCAGUCAUCAUUUCACUUGUCAGGAGUGUGUGUGAGUGUGAGUGUGCGGCUGUGUGUGCACGUGUGUGCAGGAGCGGCAGUUGGGGAGAUGACGUGCUCUUUGUUUUGUAUCUCUUACGGAUGUCCCCAGCAGAGAGGUUUGCAGUCCCAAGCGGUGUCUCUCCUGCCCCUUGGACAUGCUCAGUGGGGCAGAGGCAGUACCUGGGCAAGCUGGCGGCGGGGGUUCCAGCAGCUGCCAGGAGCACGGCUCUGUCCCCAGCCUGGGAAAGCCCCCGCCCCUCUUCUCCCUCAUCAAGGACACAGGCCUGUCCACAGGCUUCUGAGCAGCGAGCCUGCUAGUGGCUGAACCAGAACCAAUUGUUUUCAUCCUUGUCUUAUUCCCUUCCCGCCAGCCCCUGCCAUUGUAGCGUCUUUCUUUUUUGGCCAUCUGCUCCUGGAUCUCCCUGAGAUGGGCUUCCCAAGGGCUGCCGGGGCAGCCCCCUCACAGUAUUGCUCACCCAGUGCCCUCUCCCCUCAGCCUCUCCCCUGCCUGCCCUGGUGACGUCAGGUUUUUCCCAGACUUAGAAAACCAGCUCAGCACUCCCUGCUCCCAGCCUCUGUGUUGAGCUCUGCUAUUAGGCCAGCAAGCGGGGACAUCCCUGGGAGGGACAUGCUUAGCGGUCCCCUUCCCUCCAAGAAGGAUUUGGUCCGUCAUAACCCAAGGUACCAUCCUAGGCUGACACCUAACUCUUCUUUCAUUUCUUCUACAACUCAUACACUCGUAUGAUACUUUGACACUGUUCUUAGCUCAAUGAGCAUGUUUAGACUUUAACAUAAGCUAUUUUUCUAACUACAAAGGUUUAAAUGAACAAGAGAAGCAUUCUCAUUGGAAAUUUAGCAUUGUAGUGCUUUGAGAGAGAAAGGACUCCUGAAAAAAAAACCUGAGAUUUAUUAAAGAAAAAAAUGUAUUUUAUGUUAUAUAUAAAUAUAUUAUUACUUGUAAAUAUAAAGACGUUUUAUAAGCAUCAUUAUUUAUGUAUUGUGCAAUGUGUAUAAAC